Molecule: ribosomal RNA, 732 nt
Filed under: Gordonia hongkongensis
Lineage: Bacteria; Bacillati; Actinomycetota; Actinomycetes; Mycobacteriales; Gordoniaceae
Description: bacterial SSU rRNA
Rfam family: Bacterial small subunit ribosomal RNA
Source: RNAcentral
UCAAGUGGCGAACGGGUGAGUAACACGUGGGUGAUCUGCCCUGCACUCUGGGAUAAGCCUGGGAAACUGGGUCUAAUACCGGAUAUGACCAACUGUCGCAUGGUGGUUGGUGGAAAGCUUUUGCGGUGUGGGAUGGGCCCGCGGCCUAUCAGCUUGUUGGUGGGGUAAUGGCCUACCAAGGCGACGACGGGUAGCCGACCUGAGAGGGUGAUCGGCCACACUGGGACUGAGACACGGCCCAGACUCCUACGGGAGGCAGCAGUGGGGAAUAUUGCACAAUGGGCGGAAGCCUGAAGCAGCGACGCCGCGUGAGGGAUGACGGCCUUCGGGUUGUAAACCUCUUUCACCAGGGACGAAGCGUGAGUGACGGUACCUGGAGAAGAAGCACCGGCCAACUACGUGCCAGCAGCCGCGGUAAUACGUAGGGUGCGAGCGUUGUCCGGAAUUACUGGGCGUAAAGAGCUCGUAGGCGGUUUGUCGCGUCGUCUGUGAAAUUCUGCAACUCAAUUGCAGGCGUGCAGGCGAUACGGGCAGACUUGAGUACUACAGGGGAGACUGGAAUUCCUGGUGUAGCGGUGAAAUGCGCAGAUAUCAGGAGGAACACCGGUGGCGAAGGCGGGUCUCUGGGUAGUAACUGACGCUGAGGAGCGAAAGCGUGGGUAGCGAACAGGAUUAGAUACCCUGGUAGUCCACGCCGUAAACGGUGGGUACUAGGUGUGGGUUCCUUUUCAC